CAUACACCUUGAGCGGGGUCGUCUAGAAAAUGUUUGGAUCCAGUUGGCAGCACGGUCAAUUGGCAUCAGUUGGACAUUUUGCACAUUUACUAUACGCAAUUUGUAAUUUGUUUGAAACUUUAAGUUGCAUUUAACGAAACGAAUGAACAGGGUACAGAAGUAUAGCAAAGGCAUUUUUACUGGCAAAAGUAUCCCUUUGUGUGGAUUGAGAAAAAUACAUAAGCAGUUUUUAAAAUAGUUGCCGUAUUCCAAAUCGUGGUGCAUUUUUGUGUGUGAUGGAUAAAGAGACGCAGUUUUCGUGAAGUUGUAUGCAUUAAGCAAUCAUAACAGCAUAUUACACUAAAUCCGAGAUAUGCGGUUGAUGAAAUUCGGCAGUGCUUUAAACACAAUUUCGAAUGGAAAUUAACACGUUCAGCCCUGCGCUGAUUUUCAUCAACUUUCCGUUCCGCCGGAAUCUAGAACGCUAGCAGUUGACUGUAAACCGAAUGUGCAAAAUUGAGUUUUUUUUUUAGCUAAACUUAAAACUGUGCUCUGUUCACCAAUACUGUUAUGUGUGGGAUGAUGUUUUUAUCAACCAAAAUUAUUCUCACAACAUUAUUUUAUUUGCCCACUGCUGCUGUUCAAGCGAGUAGAGUACAGUUUUCAAUGUAUGUUGUUUCCAUAGCAUAAUACGAUUGGCAGGUCCCAGGGAAUCAGCUUCGGAAUCGAUUACGUCAGCGGUCGGCAAACUUUUGAGGCAAAGGGCCAACUUCAGUAAAUGAUCGAGUGCCGCGGGCCAGGUGAAUGCGGUAUUUUUAUUAUUGCGCUUAAAUGAUUACAUUUUAAUCUUUUACAAACAGUUCAGGUGUUAUUGUUGUUUUUCUGUAAUUAAAUCAUCAAAAUGCGGUUCAAAAUUAAUGAUACCGACUUUAAAAACGAAUUGUAAUAGUAGUCAUUUGAGAAUCAUCAAAACAUGACCAAACAUUUGAUCAGUGAAAAAAUAACAAAAAGGGAUUAAUGUCGCUUCUUAAAGACCCCUCCUCACACGCCGCAAAAAAAUAUUGAAUAUAUUCCGGGUAUGAUACAAAAGUCUGAACGGCUGAAAAAUUAUCGAAGCAAACAUAGAUUCAGUAAUUAUAAAAAUGCUUUAUGGACAAGUCAGAUGUCAUACCAUGUCAGAUCAAUUGAUAACCCAAAUGACAAUCCAGCCUGCUCUCACUAUGGCGAGCUCAAUGACAGCUGCUUCAACCCAUACUGAGAGGCUAUCAUCGUUUCCUCCUGCGUACUGAGCAAGCUUGUUUUUUUCCCCUCGCUGAGGCCAGAUGAUUUUGUUUGUAUGGUGAGUAAAUCUAUCGCCGAUGAUUGCUCUAAUGAGAUGAUCAAGCAACAGCCGCUCACAUGAUGAAAUCAUGAUGAGGUCGGAUUUUGGAGUGAGUAAAAAUUUCUUCCCCACAUCGAGCCGCCAUUGUGUUGUGGUUUUAGGAGAACAUUGGAUCAUCUACGAAUUGUUUACAUUUGUAAAACGAGCAAUAAUUGACCGCGGUCUACAUUUCUCGAUUCUUUUGUUGAAAGCGCAUAUCAAAUAUCCCAAAUCAGUUAAAAUAUAGUGAAAUGUUGUAUCGGACACACGAUGCUUUGAAGAAAACGUGAGGGCAAACAUGGGAAGAUGAUGAACAUCUUACCUUACUAAUAGUUGAUUUACAGCCUCUAGGUAAGUGUAAAACACCCAACAGAGUGCUGUUGUCAAUGUAAAAAAAGUUUUUAAAUUGCAGAGGGUGAUUCUUUCUCCGUCACACGCAUCAACAAAACAUGAAGCAGCGUUUAACGAUGAAGAAGAUACCCAGUUGUGCGAUAACCAUUAACGUUGAAAAUCAAGAGGAAUACAUGGAUUGAAAAUACUUAAAGAGAAUACGCACCGAGUCGAAUUUAAAACGGAAAAUAAUGGUCCACAAAAGGCGAAAAUAAUGGCAAAGGAAACGAGUGCGGCUGGGCCGCAAUACCAUCCAAUAUUUCAUGAAAGGCCAUGUUUUGGAUUGCCAUGAUUGUUAGCAAUGGCGGAUUAAGACGAAUGGAGGCCCUAAGCGGUCACACAAAAGUAGAGGCUUGGUUGAAGCGUCUAGCAGGGGAUUGUAUCAAAUAUCCCAACCAGAGAAGGAUUGAGUAGCAAUUAUGCUUGUGAGCGGAUGGUAGGUGCCAUUUUUGGGGCCCCUGGCCGACCCAGAUGUUCGACGCUUAAACAACUAAAUACACAUUAAAACUGAAGGAAAUACACAUCUAAUCAAUUACUUUAAAAAAUAA
Molecule: long non-coding RNA, 2277 nt
Organism: Anopheles gambiae (African malaria mosquito)
Lineage: Eukaryota; Metazoa; Arthropoda; Insecta; Diptera; Culicidae
Exons: 2
Source: RefSeq, a predicted model, not a curated record